GACGAACGCUGGCGGCGUGCUUAACACAUGCAAGUCGAACGGUGAAGCGCCUUCCUUUUUGGUGGGUGUGGAUGAGUGGCGAACGGGUGAGUAACACGUGAGUAACCUGCCCCCUUCUUCUGGAUAACCGCAUGAAAGUGUGGCUAAUACGGGAUAUUCUGGGUCUGUCGCAUGAUGGGUCUGGGAAAGAUAUUGUUUCGGUGGGGGAUGGGCUCGCGGCCUAUCAGCUUGUUGGUGGGGUGAUGGCCUACCAAGGCGGUGACGGGUAGCCGGCCUGAGAGGGUGGACGGUCACACUGGGACUGAGACGCGGCCCAGACUCCUACGGGAGGCAGCAGUGGGGAAUAUUGCACAAUGGGCGCAAGCCUGAUGCAGCGACGCCGCGUAAGGGAUGGAGGCCUUCGGGUUGUGAACCUCUUUCGCCAGUGAAGCAGGCCUGCCUCGUUUGUGGGUGGGUUGACGGUAGCUGGAUAAGAAGCGCCGGCUAACUACGUG
This 494-nucleotide ribosomal RNA is filed under the name uncultured bacterium. Its description in RNAcentral is "partial 16S ribosomal RNA". It matches the Rfam family "Bacterial small subunit ribosomal RNA", at positions 28 to 507 of the family's 1533-position model. The record is from RNAcentral.